Molecule: unclassified non-coding RNA, 214 nt
Filed under: soil metagenome
Description: partial contains 5.8S ribosomal RNA, internal transcribed spacer 2, and large subunit ribosomal RNA
Source: RNAcentral
AACGCACGAGACCUGCGGACCUGCGGAGGGAUCAUUACAAGUGACCCCGGUCUAACCACCGGGAUGUUCAUAACCCUUUGUUGUCCGACUCUGUUGCCUCCGGGGCGACCCUGCCUUCGGGCGGGGGCUCCGGGUGGACACUUCAAACUCUUGCGUAACUUUGCAGUCUGAGUAAAUUUAAUUAAUAAAUUAAAACUUUUAGCAAUGGAUCUCU